ACCACUUGCCAUACCACGUAGAAAGCAUCGAAGUUAAACUACGUCGGGCCGGGUUAGUACUUGCGUAGGUGACGGGAUGGGAAUACCCGAUGUUGCUGACU
This 101-nucleotide ribosomal RNA is filed under the name Rodentolepis nana. The record is from RNAcentral. Lineage: Eukaryota; Metazoa; Platyhelminthes; Cestoda; Cyclophyllidea; Hymenolepididae.